Centrocercus urophasianus (Greater sage-grouse) is the source of this 6874-nucleotide long non-coding RNA. RefSeq lists it as uncharacterized. The transcript is spliced from 8 exons. The record is from RefSeq and is a predicted model, not a curated record. Lineage: Eukaryota; Metazoa; Chordata; Aves; Galliformes; Phasianidae.
CGCGGGUGGGGCGCUCCGACUGCCACGGGGCUCCCCUGAGCCUCCUCUUCUCCUGACUGAACGCUCCCGGUUCCCUCAGCCGCUCCCCGUCAGACUUGUGCUCCUGAUCCUUCUCGGUUUCGUUGCCCUACUCUGGACGCGCUCCAGCGCCUCGAUGUCUUUCUUGUAGCGAGGGGCCCCAGACUGAACGCGGGGCUCGAGGUGCGGCCCCACCAGUGCUGAUCACCACAGUGCUCCUGCUGACUGCACUGUUGCUAAUACGUGCCCAAGCUUUGAGGCAGGACUGCAGAAUAUGGCUCCAAAUAAAGUCUGUGCUCCUGGUACUGCAGAAAUGCUGUUCGCUCUGAUGCAAUUCUCAACCACAUCACCACUACUGAUUGUUUCCAUUAGAAAGGUAUCUGCUAAUCUGAAAAUGGAUCUAGAAGCCAUUGUUCUAGAUACUGCCGUUGACACAGUAAAAAGAAAGCUCAUGCCCUGCAGAGCUCAGGGCUGGAACAGAUGAAGCAAGCUGUGAGGACACCUGCUGAGAAGCCGUACAGGUUUUUUCAGGUCUCACAGACUGUUGCAGCAGCACAAACGAACUUGCUGGAGCACUUUCUGUAAGCCGGAACACAAACAGACAGGUCCGAACAAAGAGGACGAAGCUUCAGCUUACCUUGAGAAUAUUUGCAGGCUUCUAACAAGACCUCCUGCUUCGGAACAACCUCUCUGUUCUCCACAAAGCCAAGAAGUGCAGCUUGCAGAAACACGGCAUCUCUCCCAUGCAAGCCAGCAGCAGCGGCACGCACAAAGGUGAUGGGUCUCUUCACAGGCAGGCACACGUACACACGGCGCACCGCCUCUCUGCACUGCCUGUCUCAUCUUGUCUUCGCCCUUCUGGUGAGCAUGCAGGUACUGGAGCAUACAGGGAUCUUGCAUUUUGCACCCUGCAAGGGAAUGCUUCUAGAAGAGAGAAUCCUCUUAUUUAAGCACAGGAGCAAUGCCGCAGCAACAGCAGUGCAAAUUGUACCACAGAUAAGCUGGCAAGACACACCAGGCUCGAUAAGCCUUCAGGUACUUCUGUGCUGGGAUGUAGAUCUUGCUCAUCUCUUCCGGAGCUUCAGGGAUAAGUAGUGUCAAGGCAGAAAGAAAACUGAUACAUGACAGAAUUUGAAAAUUUUGAGUUUUCUAGAGGGUGCAAAUUGUUUCCUUUUAGAGCCGGAUAGUGCAAUACAAGUAACUUGCCAUGGCAGCCUGCUUACGAGACAGAAAAAGGUGAGAACCACCAGGUGCUUUGUUACUGUAGCAAGGGAAGAGGCAGAGACCUUACCGUUUUUGGUCACUAAUGAGCAGCACACCAUCUAGUAAGUUGUCAGCCGAAGUUCAUGUUGUAUUUGAUGCAAGCUAGCUGAUGUGUGAGCCUCUUUGAUACUUGGAUCAAAACUGAAGUGCGGUCAGAAAGAAAGAAGGAAGUGCUCAGAAGAAUUGAAACAAAGCUGGAUUCUCAGAAGCACAAGGCCUAAUCCAUAUCCGCAACAAGCUGACGCAACUCUGCAGAUGCCAAGAAUGGGAAAGGUAUGCCAGUUUAUCCUUACUACAUGUUGCACUGAAGGAGACACAGGCACAACAGAUGUCAUUAAUAUGUACCAUCAUCCCAAGGGUGUGGGGCUCACAGAAAUACCUAAAACUUGGAACAGAAGUGCAACUGAGAGAUGACACAGAGGAAAAAGACCAGAAGAAGGAAUGGGCUGCCCAAGGAGGUGGUGAGGUAACAGUCUCUGGAGGUUUCAAGAAAAGGAUGGCUGUUGUAUUGCAUGACAUGGCUCAGUGGGCAUGGAGCGUACUUCUAACAGCUCUCCUGCAGCUAUCAGCACAUGCCGGUGGACUUGUUAUAGCACGUUGAACAGCACAUUCUUGCUGGCUCACUGGGGUCUGAUCCAAAGCUUACUGCAGGCAAUGAGGAAGAUUCAUAGACUUCUUCAGUGGCCUUUGGACUGUCCUGUGGAUACAGAAGCACGAUGGCUGAGUUUCAAGUAAAGAGGAUGCUGGGAUGGAGUGUUCAGCUAGCAGUGUAAUCAUGCAGUGAUGAACUGCAGAGUUCACAGCCAAAGAACUGAUCUGCAAGCAAUGCUGGAGGCCCCACAGCAGACAGCAUGUCAUGUCCACUACCAUGUGCUGUAUCCUUGAAAGCAGACUGUCAGGUGGGGAGCUGGAGGUCUAGUUCAGCUUGAAAAGAUACAACUUUGUGUGAAAUGCCAUAUGUUGCCUGAUGAAGCUUUCCUGUAAGGUUGUACUUCAUGAAGCCUGUGAAAAGGAGCAAAAACAAAUGCUUGGAUCUGGUGAGUCAGAGAAAAUGUUUUUUAACUGGAUCAUCUCACUGCCCUUUCUUUUCAUGCCAGAUGCAGCUACAGCAAAAUAAAUUCAAUUCACAGAUUUCUGUCUUCCUCUGGAUCUUUGGAUCAGUUCUAACUCCCACCCAGUCUCAUUCAUUGCUUCUGAUGAUGGUAUCCUGAGCACCUGCUGUGAGCAAAAUUUUUCUUACAUCAUCUUAUGAACACAGUGACUUCAAACAUGUGAAAUCAUGAGGUUAAUACCACACCCAAGGCUUCAAACAAGGCCCUUUCCAGGUGUCUUGGCUGAAUUUUUGAAAAUGCUGUGGUAAUUUCUAGUUCUUGAUCAACACAAGAAUUACCAAAGGUAGAAAGUGUUCUGCCGUACAAGAACAUGAAAGAAUGAGAGAAUGCAGAGCAGCAGUCUGAAUGGGGGAAGUCAGAACCACAGUGUAAAUUAUUCUCACCUUAGAUUUGAUUUUUGCCUUGUAUAAAAUGGUAGUGAAUAUAUUUGUUCUGCAUUAACUACUUGCAAUAAUAAACUUUUGGAGGCACAGUUUUUACCAUAUCUGAUGUAUUUUAGCUGGUAGUGUUAGCUGCAUUGACACCUUUUUUUGAUAAAAAGUAUGAAAAUUUGAAAAUCAAAUCAGAAUGGGGCAAGCUUGAAGAUAUCCCAAAUAUGGAAUGACAACAAAAUUCCCGUUCCUCUGCUUUCAAUCCACAUCAUAGAAUCAUAGAAUUGCUCAAGUUGGAAAAGAUCUUAAAGAUCAUUGAGUCCAACCACAACCUUAACAUACUACCUAACUAACAACCCUCUGCUAAAUCAUGUCCCUGAGCAAAUGUAUAACACUGUGGCAGUAAUGAAAACUGGAUACUCAGAAAAUGGAGUUAUCCAGGGAUAAAGCAAAAUUUCAGGAGUUUAAUACACUAAUUUGGCACUGAGUAAUUUCUGCCUUGCUGAAUAAGAAGAGGAAGAAUAUCUUAAAAUCAUCACAUUUGGGAUGAUAUAAGAAUAGGGAUUACACACACCCAUCAGUCUGAACCUCAAUAGCACGUAAUGUUUUAAAAGAAAAUUUAACUGAAAGCAUAAUUAAAGACAAUGGAAAACAUGGCAGGAGUUUCCCAAGGGUGGAUUACAGCCACCCCUUGUAAUGGGGCUGGUGGGAAGGAAAGGUUGUGCUGAAAUGGAGAACAUCUGAAAGUCUGCAGUGAGAGUUCUUCUGGGCAAUAGUCAUCUCCUCUUCUGUUAGUGCCCUUUGAAAAAAGCACAGAAGCAUGCUAAUGAUGUUUGAUAAUGAUUAAGCUGCAUCAUCAGAGGAAGGCUGGAAAAAGGGGACAGAGCAAUAAGAAUAGAAUAAAACGUAGAGAUAAAAAGUGCAAGGUCACACACUUACUUACAUGAAGUUGGGACUCCCACUCCCCCAGAGAGGACAAAAACCGAGAGGAGCCUCACCUCAAUAGCUUAUGAUUACAGAUGACCAAUUUGGUGUGACCUUGAUAACGCCAUCUCAGGAUAUACCAGACAUGGCAUUUCCAGCAAGAUAGGAUAGUAUAUAUUCCACCAUAUAAGACACGUGGAGUAAAGCCUGCUAUUCUGGUCACCCACCUUCAAGGGAAAAAAAGCUAGAAAAGAAAAACCAGGGUGAUAAUAAAAAUUGUGAACUUGCCUCUAAUGAUGGAAGAUUUUGAGUUUGGCUUGUAUGACUUAGCAAUAUAAAUGUCAAGACGAGAUGAGAGCAGGCCCUAUAAAUAUAUCAGGAAAACAAAUAUCAGAGAGGAGUUAUUUUUAGCUGGAAAAUAUUUUGGCAAAAGAACAGAUAGGUAUAAACUAGCAAUAAAUAAUUGUAGUCUAUAAUUUAGGACGCCUGUAACAAUCAGAGAGAGGCUACUGAGAGGAGGAAGUAGAGACUGGCAGGUAUCUAAGUGACUUUGGUGUGGUUACCUGCAGUAGAAUUGGAUCCCCUAAUGAGAAAGCCCCUUUUUAUCCUGUAUUUCUAAGGUGUAGUGCAGAGGAAUUCCUAAAUGUCAAUUAUACAAGUAUCAACAGCAGUGGGUGUAAUCAACAAUAUUUAUUAGUAGGAGGAGUGACUGGUUGCUUUUUGGGUACGCUCUGACUGGAUAGAGCCACAAGGACAGUUGCGUCUCUUCUUCAGAAGACUCCAAAGGAAUAGCAUGUCUGACCAGGCUUGGUUUUCAGAGAAAGUUUUGCCUGAUCCCUGUUCAUUUGCAUUGCAUCAAUAUAAUUAAUCCAGUCUAACCUGUUCUAGUUCGUGGCACUCCUGCGAUGGUGAGAUCAAAAUCAGGUCCAACAUCUCUGACCGGGUACGCCAUUUGUUAAUACUGCAAUUUAAAGGUUUUAAACAUCUUGUGGCAAAACUGCAGCAUAACUGCUAUAAAGCUUCAUGUAUGUACAACGUGAUUCCUGGAUAGAGAUCACUUCAGCUCCAUAGUUAUUAAUUCACAGGUUUCUCGCUGACCUUAGCUCAGCUCUGGGAGCCGUGCCAGAACAAUUACAGUAACUCUGAGCAGCGCAGGCAUAAAGCUCCUGUAUUUACUCUGAAAUUGUGCCAGGUUUUCUCUGGCUCAGUGAUGGAAAGAUGCAUUUCUUCUUUGAUUAGUUUCAAAUAGUUCAGCCUGGGUUGGCUAUAACAAGGUUACUUCAUUAAAAAAAAAAAAAAAAAAGAGGAGAAAUAAGGUAUUAUGAGGAGGUGUGCAUACACUAUAUACUUGCUGCAUAGAUAACAUUAAGGAAAUGCAAGCUAAAAAGGGGGGAAAGCAAGUCAAGGUGACUUGUUAUCCAGAAAGUAAGUGGCAGAGUUGGAAAUGAAAUUCAAGGGGAAUAUACUUCACUUGGUGUUGUUUUCACUGAAUCGUGCUAUCUUUGUGGAGCACGCUGAGGCCCACCUCCUUCCUUCCUGCAAAGGUAGGGCAGCUGGAAGGCAGAGACACCAGGUGAAGCUGAGCAUGCUCACCACUUGGGAGACCCAGGCCCCUGGUGAUCUUCUCUGACGUUAAUUGACUGUCAGACCUUGCAAAAGGGGAGGGGACACAUUUCCUGAUCUGUGGUUUAAGGUAGUGUUUUCCAGACUCUGGAGUGAAUUUCAUGUUGCAAAGGAAAUGAUGAUGCAAUCUUCCAGCAGCUGCUGUGCUCCAGCAUCCUUGCAAAGGUACAGUACAUAUUUUGUGGGUGUAUGUGUAUAUGCAAGCUGCAUAUUCAAAACCCCAGUUUUUCUUAACAGCAGGCAGGCCUCCAGGUCUCCAGACCCAUCUUCCUAUCCCCAGAAGAAAUACUGCUAAAGGUUGCUCCCAGCAAAACUGUAGCGGUCAUCCUGAAAGCGAGCUCCUGAAAAAUCAAGUUUUUAUGUAAGACUGCCAUGGGUGUGAUCUCAUCUUCCUACGUGCCAGGUCUAUGAGUCCUGUACCUAAAACAUAGAAAGGUUCCUCAUAACUGCAAGUGAAAUGGCAAGAGCAACGUUCUGAAUGAAUAUAUUGUGAUGAGUCUGAAAGAUCAGGGAACGCGUGUCUUUGAAUAGGUAAAUCUAAUUGAUGAACGUGUGAGUCUGAUGAUGGAAUUAACCUGAUUUAAUUAAUUACUCCCUCUUGGUGGAACUGCGAAAACUGACUGUAGUGUGCUUUAGUCUUUUAGUUUUUAAAAUCAAUCACAUUAAGGGAAAGUAAACAAGUUUGGUUCAGAGAUGGAAGGGCUGUUACGUGCUUAGUUUAUACGGCUCUGCAGAUGCCCAGUGAGCUGCUGAGCUCCAGAAACUGAAUCCUGUAUGCUGGCCUGUCUGUGCUGGGGGUGUAUGUAGCAGCGAUGGCUCCCUGCCUUCAUGCCCAAGCUUUUAGUUGAGCAGAAACAGACCAUCUUGCCUAACAUAGAUGGGAUGAAGAUUUGCUUCAGGAAGUGUAUGGGAACUGUUGGGUCACAGCCUGAACCACUGAUUGAGCACCUGAGGAAGACCUGGUCAGCUGUGGGAGCACAGGUGAAGGCAAUUCAUCUCGUGACCCCUCUUAGACCUCAUUUACAGGCUGACCAGUACUGGGGAAGCAUCUCUGGUUGGGGAUCUCUUCCCUGUGGAGUCUUUUCUGUAAGCCUAGCUCUUAGGACACUGCUGAGUGCCUUUAUUUUCCUUUGAAAUACCUUCUCAUCUAUGCUAGUUCUUUUGAUGUUACUCUCCUGUAUGGUCCUUCCACCAAGUUAAUGUUUCCAAUUGUAACAGGAGGUGAGUGGAACAUCCAGAUGGUGUGCUUGGGGACAUCCCAGAAGCUCCCAACCUCCUGAAAUAACUAAGUGUUCUUGAUUCACACCAGGGAUUGAACAGUGAAGAAGAACUGGAAUGAUGCCAUAGUGCUCCCCAAUAGGAGGUGAUGAAUGGGACAAGCAUGUUGCUGCUCGUGCAGCCAAGUGAUGAGCCAACAGUGCAAGUUCUGCUCUUGCUGCUAACAAAGCUAUACCGCCUCUGCCUCAAGCUGUUUCCUGCACAGCUCUCCUUGCCCUGCGACCAUCCCUAGGGCUCCGUUCAGCCAGGAUCCCUCGCUUCAGGGAACACGCGGAGCUCUCCUCC